AAACUUUCAACAAUGGAUCUUUUGGUUCCGGCAUCGAUGAAAAACGCAGCGAAAUGCGAUAACUAAUGUGAAUUGCAGAAUUCAGUGAAUCAUCGAGUCUUUGAACGCACAUUGCGCCCCCUGGUAUUCCGGGGGGCAUGCCUGUCCGAGCGUCAUUU
RNAcentral lists this ribosomal RNA (158 nucleotides) under Aspergillus japonicus. RNAcentral describes it as "5.8S ribosomal RNA". It matches the Rfam family "5.8S ribosomal RNA". Rfam says of the family: 5.8S ribosomal RNA (5.8S rRNA) is a component of the large subunit of the eukaryotic ribosome. It is transcribed by RNA polymerase I as part of the 45S precursor that also contains 18S and 28S rRNA. The record is from RNAcentral. Lineage: Eukaryota; Fungi; Ascomycota; Eurotiomycetes; Eurotiales; Aspergillaceae.